This 53-nucleotide small RNA is filed under the name Vibrio cholerae O1 biovar El Tor str. N16961. The record is from RNAcentral. Lineage: Bacteria; Pseudomonadati; Pseudomonadota; Gammaproteobacteria; Vibrionales; Vibrionaceae.
CUUCUCUAAUCUCGCGUAAGCCGUGACUAACCACUUAAUGCCUUCGCCAUUAA